Molecule: transfer RNA, 76 nt
Filed under: Gentiana cuneibarba
Lineage: Eukaryota; Viridiplantae; Streptophyta; Magnoliopsida; Gentianales; Gentianaceae
Description: tRNA-Gly
Source: RNAcentral
CAUAAAGGAGCUGAAUGAAACCAAAAUUUCAUGUUCAGCCAAGCUAACGAUGCGGGUUCGAUUCCCGCUACCCGCU